AUGGCAGUGGCCGCCUCUCCAUCUCUCACUCUUCCUCCACCCGCGCAGCGCGCCACCCCAAAGCCGCGCCGCCGCACGCCGCCGCGAUACGUGGUCUCAUGGACGUCCGCCAUCGCGCGCUCGGCGCGGGAGGGCGACCUGCCGGCGACGGCCGCAGCGCUCUCGGCCAUGCUCUCCUCCCCCGCCGCGCCCGCGCCCGCGCCCAACGACGUCACCCUCCACACCGUCCUUUCCGCCUGCGCCGUCGCCCCCACCUCCCCGCUCGCCCGGCCCCUCGCGCUAUCGCUCCACGCCCUCGCCAUCAAGCUCUUCCCCGGCCACCUCCUCCUCUGCACCUGCCUCGCGCGGUUCUACCUCGCGUCCCGCCUCCCCCACCACGCCUCCAGCUGUUCGGCUUCAUGCCCGUCAGUGUUCGACGGAAUGCCGGACCCGGACAAGGUCUCCUGGACGGCGCUCAUCGACGGGUUCAUCAAGAACGGGCGCCACGACGUGGCGAUCUACUGCUUCCAUGCCAUGCUGCUGGACGGCGUCCAGCCAGACUACGUCACGCUGGUAGCUGCUAUCUCCGCGUGCGCCGAGCUCGGCGCGCUCGGUCUCGGUAUGUGGGUGCACCGGUUCGUGACCAGGCAGAGGCUGGAGGGCAACAUCCGCAUCGUCAACUCGUUGAUCCACAUGUACGCUCGGUGCGGUCAGGUGGAGUUCGCACGGCAGGUGUUUGACAGCAUGAGGAAGCGGACGGUGGUCUCCUGGAACACGAUGAUCGUCGGGUUCGCAGCCAACGGACGGUGCACGGACGCUAUCGACCAUUUUGAGGCGAUGCGGAGGAAGGGGUUGAAACCAGAUACGGUGACCUUCACGGGCGUCCUCAUGGCCUGCAGCCACGCCGGUCUGACGGACGAGGGGCUGAGGUACUAUGACGCCAUGAAGGCGGAAGCGGAACACGGCAUCACAGCAAGGAUGGAGCACUACGGGUGCGUGGUCGACCUGCUCGGACGGGCCGGGCGCCUGGACGAGGCCAUGAGUGUGGUGGCUACCAUGCCGAUGCGGCCGAACGAGGUGGUGCUCGGAGCCCUGCUCGCCGGCUGCCGGAUGCACGGGGACGUGGACAUGGCCGAGCAGCUGAUGCAGUACCUCCUCAAGCAGGACCCCGGCGGCGACUCAAACUACGUGCUGCUGUCGAACAUCUAUGCUGCCGAGGGGAAAUGGGAUGGCGCGGGCAAGGUCCGGAGCCUUAUGAAAUCCCGGGGAGUGAAGAAGAGGCUAGGCCGCAGCGCCGUGGAGAUCGACGGUGGUGUGCAUGAGUUUGUCUGCGGGGAUCGGUCUCAUCCGCAGGCUGAGGAGGUGUUCGACAUGCUUGGCCUGCUCAGCCAUGAGAUGGCAAGGCAUGAGGUGUGA
This 1395-nucleotide ribosomal RNA is filed under the name Triticum aestivum (bread wheat). RNAcentral's name for it is "partial small subunit ribosomal RNA". The record is from RNAcentral. Lineage: Eukaryota; Viridiplantae; Streptophyta; Magnoliopsida; Poales; Poaceae.